RNAcentral lists this long non-coding RNA (630 nucleotides) under Oryza sativa (Asian cultivated rice). RNAcentral's name for it is "long non-coding RNA (OSAT_LNC001818)". Lineage: Eukaryota; Viridiplantae; Streptophyta; Magnoliopsida; Poales; Poaceae. The record is from RNAcentral.
CAAACAUUCACAACAACAAUAUAGUUCAUCCAAAUCAUUCACAGCAAUAGUUCAUCUCAAAUCAUUCACACAAUAGUUCAUCCCAAAACAUUCACAACAACAACAACAUAGAUCAAAUCACACAUUCAACAUAGAUCGUAUCAAUCAACACAGAGCGAAUCGCACAUUAAGGAAAAAAAGAAAAAAAAGAAAAAGAAAUUCCACGGUAGCGCCGCCUCCACCACCUGCCGCCGCACCGGCCUCCGCGCCGGGCGCAGCCCUCCGGACGAGGCCACCGCCCGGCUGCCUCCCCCUUCAGAUCCGGCGGCAGCCGGCCGCUUCCCCUCCGGAUCCGCCGCCGCCCGGCUGCCGCGGCGUGAGGCCGCCUCCACCCCACCGCGCAAGGGGCCCGCCGCCGCCGCGGCGCGAGGCCGCCUCCGCCUCCGCCCGGCCGCUGACGGAAGAGAGGGGAGGAAUAGAACGGGGAGAGGAGGAGGAGGAAGAGAUGGGAGGAGGAAGAGAGGGGAGGAAUAGAACGGAGAAGAGACGGGAGGAGUAAGAGAUAAGGUUAGGGAAGAGAUAAGAAUAGAAUUUAUUAACUCCUCGAUCUCGUGCACGCCUCAUCCUCUCCGCCACAUGCGUGCAUGCCGA